Pelobates cultripes (western spadefoot toad) is the source of this 13721-nucleotide non-coding RNA. The record is from the annotation of a GenBank genome assembly. NCBI's taxonomy places the organism in Eukaryota, Metazoa, Chordata, Amphibia, Anura, Pelobatidae.
GCUGGGACAGCUUCCCGCCCGGCCUCCCGCUGGUUACAGCACAGUGCUGUGUGUUUACUGGGAGUUACUGGCAGCUGUAUGGGCUGGGAUACACAGUGUGUGACAGACACCACCUGGAGAUACACACAGGUAGGGCUCAUCUGCUGAUACCCAGCAAAUAGACUGUGUGUGUGUGUAUAUAGAUAGAUAGAUAGAUAAUUAACAUGGGAGAGGACUGGGACUAAGCUGGUUUAUUAUCAGGGCUUAUAUUGCCAGGGAUUCAAAGUGAAUGUCAGAAAUCUCCAAGGAUGCUGUAUUAUGUGCAGUUGAGCUAUUUUGGCAUCAACAUUGGAAUUUACUUUGGUUUACUGACAAAUCAAACUAGAAGUGUUUAUUCACUAAACUACGAAUUGUUUUGAGUUUGCAAUAAAAAGAAGGAAGUAAAAGGUUACCAAGGUGCUGCCAUUAGCCGAGUUGGAGAGUCUCUGUAGAUUAGUUACAUUUGAUGAAAUGUUGUUAUUGGGAUUUUAAUUUGACACAAUGUGGAGUUUAGUUAUGGGACAGUAUCAUCGAUAGAUCAUGCCUCUGCAGUGUCACUGCUCAAUUCUCUGCCAUCCAGGACUUUUGUUUCAGUUUAUGCAGAACUACUCACACCUACCUGCAUGUGUAGCUCACCUACCUGUUGUGUAGCUCACACAACCUGCCUACACUUCGUUUAAAGUGUGAUCUAAUGUUUAAACUUCCUUUAUUGCAUAUUCUGUUUAAUAUGGAAUUUCUUAUCUCCUUCUCUGUAAAUGGCAUUCUAGACCCUGCAUAAGACGGGACAUACUAAAAGGAAUGACAGAUUGGAAUGCCCAUAGACUUUAACAAGGCACUGGAAUGCCCAUAGAGAAUAAUGGAAGUGAAAGGAAUGCCCAUAGAGAAUAAUGGAAACAAAAUAUUUCAAUUAGAGACAAAACUAUUACACAUAUGAAAUCCAUAUUUUGCCACAAUACUCUCCAGAUUCAGUGUCAAUUUUUGAAAUUGAAAUUAAGUGGGAUUAUCAUUGUUUUCUAUAGAUUAACAAUGGUGAAUGACUAAAGAGAAUGCCCAUAGACUAUAAUGGGAGGCAACACAUAAACUAAUUUGCAGGUAAAUCUGUGUUGUGUAGCAAAUUCAUCUUUACCACAGGUGUUCCCCAAGUACAGCAGUAGAUUGUAAAAGUAAAAUUAUCUGGGAUUAUAGCUCUUUUCUAUGGAAUGUCAUGUAAAUGAUGCAAUGGAAUGCCCAUAGAGUAUAAUGGAAGUAAUAUGUGACUUGGAAUCUGAACCGUGAAACAUAUCAAGUAAAGCUUUUGCAGGCAUACUCUGCGAGUUCAGUGGCAAUUUUUUUAAAUGAGAUUAAGUGGGAUUAUCAUUGUUUUCUAUAGAAUGACAAUGGUGAAUGACUAAAGAGAAUGCCCAUAGACUAUAAUGGGAGGCAACACAUAAACUAAUUUGCAGGUAAAUCUGUGUUGUGUAGCAAAUUCAUCUUUACCACAGGUGUUCCCCAAGUACAGCAGUAGAUUCUAAAACUAAAAAUAACUGUGAUUAUAGCUCUUUUCUAUGGAAUGACAGGUAAAUGAUGCAAUGGAAUGCCCAUAGAGUAUAAUGGGAAGCAAUAUGUGACUUGGUAUCUGAACCGUAAAACAUAUCAAGUAAAUCUUUUGCAGGCAUACUCUGCGCGUUCAGUGGCAAUUUUUUUAAAUGGAAAUUAAGUGGGAUUAUCAUUGUUUUCUAUAGAAUAACAAUGGUGAAUGACUAAAGAGAAUGCCCAUAGACUAUAAUGGGAUGCAACACAUAAACUAAUUUGCAGGUAAAUCUCUGUUGUGUAGCAAAUUCAUCUUUUCCACAGGUGUUCCCCAAGUACAGCAGUAGAUUGUAAAAUUAAAAGUAACUGGGAUUAAAGCUCUUUUCUAUGGAAUGACAGGUAAAUGAUACAAUGGAAUGCCCAUAGAGUAUAAUGGGAAGCAAUAUGUGACUUGGAAUCUGAACCGUGAAACAUAUCAAGUAAAUCUUUUGCAGGCAUACUCUACGAGUUCAGUGGCAAUUUUUGAAAUUGAGAUUAAGUGGGAUUAUCAUUGUUUUCUAUAGAAUGACAAUGGUGAAUGACUAAAGAGAAUGCCCAUAGACUAUAAUGGAAGGCAACACAUAAACUCAUUUGCAGGUAAAUCUGUGUUGUGUAGCAAAUUCAUCUUUUCCACAGGUGUUCCCCAAGUACAGCAGUAGAUUCUAAAAUUAAAAGUAACUGGGAUUAUAGCUCUUUUCUAUGGAAUGACAGGUAAAUGAUGCAAUGGAAUGCCCAUAGAGUAUAAUGGAAAGCAAUAUGUGACUUGGAAUCUGAACCGUGAAACAUAUCAAGUAAAGCUUUUGCAGGCAUACUCUAUGAGUUCAGUGGCAAUUUUUGAAAUUGAGAUUAAGUGGGAUUAUCAUUGUUUUCUAUAGAAUGACAAUGGUGAAUGACUAAAGGGAAUGCCCAUAGACUAUAAUGGAAGGCAACACAUAAACUAAUUUGCAGGUAAAUCUGUGUUAUGUAGCAAAUUCAUCUUUACCACAUGUGUUCCCCAAGUACAGCAGUAGAUUCUAAAAUUAAAAAUAACUGGGAUUAUAGCUCUUUUCUAUGGAAUGACAGGUAAAUGAUACAAUGGAAUGCCCAUAGAGUAUAAUGGGAAGCAAUAUGUGACUUGGAAUCUGAACCGUGAAACAUAUCAAGUAAAUCUUUUGCAGGCAUACUCUACGAGUUCAGUGGCAAUUUUUGAAAUUGAGUUAAGUGGGAUUAUCAUUGUUUUCUAUAGAAUGACAAUGGUGAAUGACUAAAGAGAAUGCCCAUAGACUAUAAUGGGAGGCAACACAUAAACUCAUUUGCAGGUAAAUCUGUGUUGUGUAGCAAAUUCAUCUUUUCCACAGGUGUUCCCCAAGUACAGCAGUAGAUUGUAAAAUUAAAAGUAACUGGGAUUAUAGCUCUUUUCUAUGGAAUGACAGGUAAAUGAUGCAAUGGAAUGCCCAUAGAGUAUAAUGGCAAGUAAUAUGUGACUUGGAAUCUGAACCGUGAAACAUAUCAAGUAAAUCUUUUGCAGGCAUACUCUACGAGUUCAGUGGCAAUUUUUGAAAUUGAGAUUAAGUGGGAUUAUCAUUGUUUUCUAUAGAAUGACAAUGGUGAAUGACUAAAGAGAAUGCCCAUAGAUUAUAAUGGGAGGCAACACAUAAACUCAUUUGCAGGUAAAUCUGUGUUGUGUAGCAAAUUCAUCUUUACCACAGGUGUUCCCCAAGUACAGCAGUAGAUUGUAAAAUUAUCUGGGAUUAUAGCUCUUUUCUAUGGAAUGACAGGUAAAUGAUGCAAUGGAAUGCCCAUAGAGUAUAAUGGGAAGCAAUAUGUGACUUGGUAUCUGAACCGUAAAACAUAUCAAGUAAAUCUUUUGCAGGCAUACUCUGCGCGUUCAGUGGCAAUUUUUUUAAAUUGAGAUUAAGUGGGAUUAUCAUUGUUUUCUAUAGAAUGACAAUGGUGAAUGAAUUAAGAGAAUGCCCAUAGAGUAUAAUGGGAAGUAGAAUAUAAACUCAUUUGCAGGGAAAUCUGUGUUACAUAGCAAAUUAACCUUUGCCACAGGGGUUCCCCAAGUACAGCAGCAGAUUGUAACGUUAAAAGUAACUGGGAUUAUAGCUCUUUUCUAUGGAAUGACAGGUGAAUGAUACAAUGGAAUGCCCAUCGAGUAUAGUGUAUAUCAACUCUUUUGUAAGGAAAUCUGAAAGACAUAGCAAGUUAAACAUAGCAUCCCUCCUUAGACAACUUAGACUACAGCAUUUAGCCUACAACUACAGCCCCUAACCCUUAAUUGCAGCCCACAUCCCCAUACUACAGACCCUACACCCUACUACAGUCCUUUAGUCCCCACUACAGCCCCCAUACUCUACUUUAACCCAUAACCCCCUACUACAUCCCUGUAACAAACUACCCUUCUUCAUUGGCUUUUGGAGAGGCCUUCUUGACAGCCUCUUGCCCUGUGACUAUGGCCCCUGGGUUGUAUUGCCCUUUAAAAACUCUAUUUGUGCCUAUUGUAUUUUGGAGCACUGUUUCUGCCCCUUUAAAUGGUACUGGUACAGUUCUGCACUUUUGAAGUGGCACUUCGGAUGCAGCUGAAGUGCCGAAGUAGUCGAAGAAGCUGCCAUUCGACAUACGAACACGUGGCGGCGGCCAUUUUAAUUCAGUCGAAAGCGUUCAGCGGUGUCUAGUUGUCGAGUUCAUGGAACUCAAAUCGGAUAUGCGACGGGACGAACACCGCUGAACUUUACCUUCUCCAGACUUCGACGCUUCGACUGGAGUCGAAAACUGUUUGACAAUUCGAACAGCACUUUAACAUUGACUGUUUGCACAAAUGGUUGCCGUUCGUCUAAUUGAACUAAAUCUGACUGUCUGCCAGAGUCUGUGUGUGUGUGUGUGUGUGUGUGUGUGCUGUCUGCCUCUGUGUGGCUGUCUGCCUCUGUGUGUUGUGUGGCAAAAUAUCACAUACAACCAAUACACACAUACACACACAGUUAAUACACCCAAUACAGAUAUCACACAUAGCAUAUAUAUCACACAGUCAUCACACCUAUCACAUACACAGACAACACAAACAUUACAUCAUACAUGGAUGACGGGGGAGGGGGGGCGCUGUGAAGAUUUUUCGCACAGGGCGCCUAAAGGCCUAAGGGUGGCCCUGAAUGUAACACAUGGUUUCAUACUUACCUCUUAGGUGACAUUAUGUAUGUAUUGCCUCAUCUUAGACCAUGUGUAACUACUGUUUUAUUUUUUUCUUACUUAUCUCAUACUGCGAACAGUUGUAAUUUGUAUGUGCAAACUACAAUAAAAUACAAAUUAUAAAAAAAUAAAUAAAUAAAGCCUCAGUUCCUUCUGUUCCUGCUUAACCUUCAAUACAUAGUCUUGUCUCGUUAUUGUAGGGAACUGCUAUACUUUUAUACUCCCCUGAGCUCUAAUCACUUAGCUCUUUUAAGAGCUGUUCCUGAUACGCUCUCCUGGAGGAGAGGUCUUUCCCACACGGUCCUGGAGGACAGAGGUUGAUCCAGGGUGGAAGGAAGACGGUGUGACUCCAGGUAAGUUACGGCGGUUGUGGAGUCUGCGGUGGUUGUGGUUUCCGGUGCGUGGUUAUGGUCCUCGGCGUCAGCUAGGAAGCGUCCGUCAACGGAGGUGCCCAAUCGGGGUACCAGGUGAUCCGUUACAAGCCCCUUACUGUAAAAUUGCAGCCUCCAUACCCUACUACAGCCCCAAACCCCCUACUAAAGCCCCUUUAAUCCAACAACAGCCCCUAACCCAACUACAGCACCGAACCCCUCCACUAAAGCCCCUUAUUCCCACUGAACCCCCAUACCCCAAAGUAGCUCAUAUCCCCCACUACAGCCCUAAGCACCCUACUACAGUCCCAUACCCCCACCCCUACUGCAGCACCUAUCCCACACUACAGUACCUACCCCCAAAUGUAGCCCAGAACCCCUCACUAUAGUCCUUAUCCCCCACUGCAGCCCCUAACUUCCCUACUACAGCCUCUAUCCCUCCAACUAAAACCCCUAUUCUCUUACCACAGUCCCUUUCCCCCACUACAGUCACUCUUAUCCAUUACAGCCUUUUUUUCUCCAACUGCAGCCAUUCCCCAAUUCAGCCCCUGACCCCAUACCACAGCCAUUAUCUCCCCACUAGGCUCCCCCGGGGCAGGCGGCCAGUGGCUUCCUGGGCGGGCGGCGAGGCAGCACUUUCAAUGCAACCCGCAAUGAUGCCGGGAGCCGGAAUAUGACAUCAUAUUCCGGCUCCCGGCAUCACUCUGCGGCGCGCGAGGGAGCUGAGGGGAAAGUGCUCCCUCACUGAAAACUGCACGUCUGGCCGCCUCCCUGCCCAGCAGCCCCACUGGACCUCAGGUGAAAAGUCCACGCAGCUAUCCCAAACGUAGGGAGGCUGGGUGGAUUUAAAUAAAUAAAAAAUAAUAAUAAUAAUUGCGAGUGUGAGAAAAUGUGUGUUAGUGAAUGUGAGUCAGUGAAUGUGUCAGUGAAUGUGAGUGUGUCAGUGAAUGUGUGUGUUUCAGUGAAUGUGUGUGUUUCAAUGAGUGAGUGUGUGUCUGUCAGUCAGUGCGUGCGUCUGUCAGUAUGAGUGUGUGUCUAAGUGUAUGUCUGUCUAUCAGUGUGUCAAAUCAGUGAGUGUGUGUAUGUCAUUUUUUUGUCAGUGUAUAUGAGAGUGUGUGUCUGUCAGUGACUGUGUGAGUCUGUCAGUAAGUGUGCAUCUGUCAGUCAAAGUGCAGCCUUGACAUGAAGGGGUGGGGAAAAUUUUAAUUAGGGGGGGUGCCCGAGCACCGUCCUGCCUAGGGCAGCACAAAACCUAAAUACAUCACUGAUUAGGUAUACAUAUCUGUAUUCUUUACACUACAGUCCUGAUGCACCUUAAUAAAUAGGUCUCUGUGGCAAAACUAGCCACUUGGACUAACUUGGACAAUAUGUGGGAAAAGUUGCCUGUAUCUUUAUUGUGCUGUACUAUGUGCCUGGCUGUAAUUGACUGCCUUCUCUGUAUGUUUCAUUGAUCUGUCAGCUAUCUGCCGAAAGCAGGUAGCCUUACUGUGUUUCGUUUCACGAACAGCGCCUUUGCGAGCUGUUCGUGAACCGAAUUAACUAUCUUUUAAUAGCCCACACACUAAGGGACGUGUGGCGCUUGUUAACCGAUUGCAACAAUGUUGCAAUCGGUAAUUAGUGGCUCUCCUAGGUGGCCGUCGUUCGGGCUACCGGCCACACGGCGGUCAGCCAUCUUGGAUCCUUUGUUCCCCCCCAGCGGUGUUUGGUCGUCGAGUGCAUGGAACUGAAAACGGCUACUCGACGGCGCAAACGGUAUUUUGGGGCAAACUCUAUGGCAAAGUGUAUUUCGUGCGGCGUUCGGUUGUUUUAGCUGGGAUCUGAGCGGGGUUCUCACGAACUGUGCAUUCAGACCCCAGCUAUCUACCGAACGUCCAUUCAUUUAAAUCUGCCAAAUAUUAUUGACGUUAUAGAUUUUAAUGUAACUUGUCGGUUCUGCUGAACAGAGGGAUAAUCCACUUAACGGUACAUUCCAGUGGGAGUGUCCCUCUCGUGCAGCAGUGCCUGAUGGGAGAAAUGCCCUGUACAUUAAGUUUCCCAUGUAGUCCACUCCUGUAAUGCCCCUGUGAUGUGACUCAGGAAACCCCUUGCAUGGGGAAUUGUAUAAAUACUGGAGCAUGUGAUUUAAGACCUCAGUUGACUCCCAACUUCGUCCGGUUACUGGGGGAUUUGGGAUAUUGCCUUACUUUUCAGCGCUUGACUGUGGAUUACUUUCUGUACCAGCGGAAUUCGUGGGAUUUAAUAUUGCCGAUCCGCACUGCUGCACGAGAGGGAUCCUCCCACUGGAAUAUACCGUUAAGUGGAUUAUCCCUCCGUGCAGCAGAACCGGCAAUUACUUUAAAAUGUACAGUUCUUCGACUAUUUGGACUAUUUGCACGAAUGGACGUUCGGUAGAUAGCUGGGGUCUGAGCGCAUCAUUCGUGAGAUUACCGCUCAGAUCCCAGCUAAAACAACCGAACGCCGCACGAAAAACAUAUUCAUUAAAACACACAUUCAAAAGACCGAUUGAAGUAUAGGGAAUAUAAUACCGAACGGCCCGGAACUCCCGAACAGCCUGGAAGUUCAGCACCUCUAAGUGUGUGGGCUAUUACAUGGUGGUUAUUUCGGUUCACGAACGGCCCGCAAAGGUGCCGUUCGUGAAACAAAAUGGAAUACAGCUAUCUGCGUUCGGCAGAUAGCCAAUACAGGAAAUACAAGGUAUUACAGCCAGCAUACAUUAUACUUAUGCACACACAUACCCCACAACCAUACAGGCAACCCUUAAAGGUACAGUCUCUUUAUAUUGUCCAAGUGGCUAGGUUUGCCACACUCACCCUUCCAGACUUGAUGCCCCCUCCUGCUUUAGCGCCGCCCGGAUGAUGGGUCUAUCCAAUGCACAUCAGAGAGGAGUAUUGUGUGCCUGAGGCACAUGCAAUGAUUCUCUAUUGCCGACCAUGACAGCACUGUGCAUGCAUGCGUAACGUCAAGGUAUGUUACAGUAUGAGAAUUGGGAAGUAAGAUUCCUGGCUCUCAUACCCAGAAGGCUUGGAGACAUGUCUUGAGGUCGCUCUUCUAAGCCCUAUAUUUAGACACACACACGCAUAAGGACAUACAGACACUGACAUACAUACACACAGACAUACAUUCAUACUGGCAUACACUGACACUGGCAUACAUACAUACUGACAGACAUAUAUACAUGCAUACAGACACUGAUAUCCAUACACACACACACAUACAUACAUACACACAGACAUACAUUCAUAUUGACAUACAGACAUACAUUGGUACUGGUAUACAUACAUAUAUACAUACUGACAUGCAUGCAUACAGACACUGACAUCCAUACAUACACACAGACAUACAUUCAUACAGACAUACAUUCAUACUCAUGCAUACAUACAUGUAUACAUACUGACAGACCUACAUAUAUACACAUACUGACAGACAUACAUAUAUACAUAAUGACAGACAUACACACUGACACAGACAGCUCAUUUGUCAGCCACCCUCCUGUUUCUUACUGUUUCUUUGCAGGAGGGUGACUGGGGCUGAUGGGAGUCAGCAUGGCUCUCCCUCUUCUAGGCCUCCACGCUGGCUCUCCUCCUGCGCAUAGUGAGCUGGGAGGAAGUGACCGGCCGUCACUUCCUCCGAGCAGCACUUGCGUUACGGCUGCAUUUUUUUAUGCAAGGGGCCCUGUUGCGCUAUAACACGGUCACAGCGCUGACAGUGCCCCUGAAGAUAUAGGGCCCAUCGGGUGGCCCUAAGUGUGUGGGCCACCCGAUGGGCCCCAUUAGCGCGCGGCCCCAAGUGCAACUGCACUGGCGGCAAUUCCGUCGCUGCACAUGGGUCUCGGGCAAUUUCAAAAAUUUACACUGAACCUGGAGAGUAUGCCCGCAAAAGAUUUACUUGAUAUGUUUCAUGGUUCAGAUUCCACAUAUUGCUUCCUAUUAUACUCUAUGGGCAUUCCAUUGUAUCAUUUACCUUUCAUUCCAUAGAAAAGAGCUAUAAUCUCAGUUAUUUUUACUUUUACAAUCUACUGCUGUACUUGGGGAACACCUGUGGAAAAGAUGAAUUUGCUACACAACACAGAUUUACCUGCAAAUGAGUUUAUGUGUUGCCUCCCAUUAUAGUCUAUGGGCAUUCUCUUUAGUCAUUCACCAUUGUCAUUCUAUAGAAAACAAUGAUAAUCCCACUUAAUCUCAAUUUCAAAAAAUUGCCAUUGAACUCGUAGAGUAUGCCUGCAAAAGAUUUACUUGAUAUGUUUUACGGUUCAGAUUCCAAGUCACAUAUUGCUUCCCAUUAUACUCUAUGGGCAUUCCAUUGUAUCAUUUACCUGUCAUUCCAUAGAAAAGAGCUAUAAUCCCAGUUAUUUUUAAUUUUAGAAUCUACUGCUGUAUUUGGGGAACACAUGUGGUAAAGAUAAAUUUGCUACAUAACACAGAUGUACCUGCAAAUUAGUUUAUGUGUUGCCUCCCAUUAUAGUCUAUGGGCAUUCCCUUUAGUCAUUCACCAUUGUCAUUCUAUAGAAAACAAUGAUAAUCCCACUUAAUCUCAAUUUAAUAAAAAUUGCCACUAAACUCGCAGAGUAUGCCUGCAAAAGAUUUACUUGAUAUGUUUUACGGUUCAGAUACCAAGUCACAUAUUGCUUCCCAUUAUACUCUAUGGGCAUUCCAUUGCAUCAUUUACCUGUCAUUCCAUAGAAAAGAGCUAUAAUCCCAGUUAUUUUUAGGUUUAGAAUCUACUGCUGUACUUGGGGAACACCUGUGGAAAAGAUGAAUUUGCUACACAACAGAGAUUUACCUGCAAAUGAGUUUAUGUGUUGCCUCCCAUUAUAGUCUAUGGGCAUUCUCUUUAGUCAUUCACCAUUGUCAUUCUAUAGAACACAAUGAUAAUCCCACUUAAUCUCAAUUUCAAAAAAUUGCCACUGAACUCGUAGAGUAUGCCUGCAAAAGAUUUACUUGAUAUGUUUCACGGUUCAGAUUCCAAGUCACAUAUUGCUUCCCAUUAUACUCUAUGGGCAUUCCAUUGCAUCAUUUACCUGUCAUUCCAUAGAAAAGAGCUAUAAUCCCAGUUACUUUUAAUUUUAGAAUCUACUGCUGUACUUGGGGAACACCUGUGAUAAAGAUGAAUUUGCUACACAACAGAGAUUUACCUGCAAAUUAGUUUAUGUGUUGCCUCCCAUUAUAGUCUAUGGGCAUUCUCUUUAGUCAUUCACCAUUGUCAUUCUAUAGAAAACAAUGAUAAUCCCACUUAAACUCAAUUUCAAAAAUUGCCACUGAACUCGUAGAGUAUGCCUGCAAAAGAUUGACUUGAUAUGUUUCACGGUUCAGAUUCCAAGUCACAUAUUGCUUCCCAUUAUACUCUAUGGGCAUUCCAUUGUAUCAUUUACCUGUCAUUCCAUAGAAAAGAGCUAUAAUCCCAGUUACUUUUAAUUUUACAAUCUACUGCUGUACUUGGGGAACACCUGUGGUAAAGAUGAAUUUGCUACAUAACAGAGAUUUACCUGCAAAUGAGUUUGUGUUGCCUCCCAUUAUAGUCUAUGGGCAUUCUCUUUAGUCAUUCACCAUUGUCAUUCUAUAAAAAACAAUGAUAAUCCCACUUAAUCUCAAUUUAAUAAAAAUUGCCACUAAACUCGCAGAGUAUGCCUGCAAAAGAUUUACUUGAUAUGUUUUACGGUUCAGAUACCAAGUCACAUAUUGCUUCCCAUUAUACUCUAUGGGCAUUCCAUUGCAUCAUUUACCUGUCAUUCUAUAGAAAAGAGCUAUAAUCCCAGAUAAUUUUACUUUUACAAUCUACUGCUGUACUUGGGGAACACCUGUGGUAAAGAUGAAUUUGCUACACAACACAGAUUUACCUGCAAAUUAGUUUAUGUGUUGCCUCCCAUUAUAAUCUAUGGGCAUUCUCUUUAGUCAUUCACCAUUGUCAUUCUAUAGAAAACAAUGAUAAUCCCACUUAAACUCAAUUUCAAAAAUUGCCACUGAACUCGUAGAGUAUGCCUGCAAAAGAUUUACUUGAUAUGUUUCAUGGUUCAGAUUCCAAGUCACAUAUUGCUUCCCAUUAUACUCUAUGGGCAUUUCCAUUGUAUCAUUUACCUGUCAUUCCAUAGAAAAGAGCUAUAAUCCCAGUAAUUUUUAAUUUAAGAAUCUACUGCUGUACUUGGGGAACACCUGUGGUAAAGAUGAAUUUGCUACACAACACAGAUUUACCUGCAAAUGAGUUUAUGUGUUGCCUCCCAUUAUAGUCUAUGGGCAUUCUCUUUAGUCAUUCACCAUUGUCAUUCUAUAGAAAACAAUGAUAAUCCCACUUAAACUCAAUUUAAAAAAUUGCCACUGAACUCGUAGAGUAUGCCUGCAAAAGAUUUACUUGAUAUGUUUCAUGGUUCAGAUUCCAAGUCACAUAUUGCUUCCCAUUAUACUCUAUGGGCAUUCCAUUGUAUCAUUUACCUGUCAUUCCAUAGAAAAGAGCUAUAAUCCCAGUAAUUUUUAAUUUUAGAAUCUACUGCUGUACUUGGGGAACACAUGUGGUAAAGAUAAAUUUGCUACAUAACACAGAUGUACCUGCGAAUUAGUUUAUGUGUUGCCUCCCAUUAUAGUCUAUGGGCAUUCUCUUUAGUCAUUCACCAUUGUCAUUCUAUAGAAAACAAUGAUAAUCCCACUUAAUCUCAAUUUUAAAAAAUUGCCACUGAACUCGCAGAGUAUGCCUGCAAAAGCUUUACUUGAUAUGUUUCAUGGUUCAGAUUCCAAAUCACAUAUUACUUCCAUUAUACUCUAUGGGCAUUCCAUUGCAUCAUUUACAUGACAUUCCAUAGAAAAGAGCUAUAAUCCCAGUUACUUUUAAUUUUACAAUCUACUGCUGUACUUGGGGAACACCUGUGGAAAAGAUAAAUUUGCUACAUAACAGAGAUUUACCUGCAAAUGAGUUUAUGUGUUGCCUCCCAUUAUAGUCUAUGGGCAUUCUCUUUAGUCAUUCACCAUUGUCAUUCUAUAGAAAACAAUGAUAAUCCCACUUAAUUUCAAUUUCAAAAAUUGACACCGAAUCUGGAGAGUAUUGUGGCAAAAUAUGGAUUUCAUAUGUGUAAUAGUUUUGUCUCUAAUUGAAAUAUUUUGUUUCCAUUAUUCUCUAUGGGCAUUCCUUUCACUUCCAUUAUUCUCUAUGGGCAUUCCACUGCCUUGUUAAAGUCUAUGGGCAUUCCAAUCUGUCAUUCCUUUUAGUAUGUCCCCAUAAGACUCAUGUUUGUGAUUAACCAAUAUAUAUAUAUAUUGUAUUUUCCUGUUUAUGAAAACGCAAAAUAAAGGUUGUCAAAAAAAAACAACAAAAAAAACAAUAUAUAUAUAUAUAUAUAUAUAUAUAUAUAUAUAUAUAUAUAUAUAUAUAUAUACAUACACUAAAACAAGUUACCAUCUGAUUGAAAAUGGAACAAUUUUGCAUUCAGGCUGUGUCAGCCACAUUCAGGGGAGGUGUGACUAGGGCUGCAUGGACAGAAACAAAUGUGAUAUAACUUCUAAAUGGCAGAGAACUGAGCAGUGAAACUGCAGGGGCAUAUUACAGCCGUUUACUUAAUAACUCCCCAAAUUGGCAUUCUUGUUUGAUACCAAAUUAAGGAGCUGUUUAGUAGAUAACUCAUUUUUUGUAUCCUUAUGGCAAUCCCUCAAGGAUUAAGGAGAAUCUAAGAAUCUGAAAGACCAUUUCUUUUCUUAAUUGUGGUCUUUCAGACAACUUUACUGAUACUCUAAAUGGUUAAAUCCUCCCUCCUGACCCUACCUGCCUUCUCACAAGUAGUGGCAUGUCUACUUAACAGCAGGCAGCCAGUGGCUGCACGCUGUUAUAAAAAAAAGACAAGUGGCUAAUAGAAUAAUAAACUAGUGUCACCCCUUUCCCAACGAGUGGGGGCUGUUAAACUAAAGAGGGAGGACCUGGUGUCCCCCUCCAGUCCCUGGAUGGGCGCUAUUUAAAAUAAAUUUUAAAAAAAAGCCGAUAGCUCCCACCUUGUAGCUAGAACGAAUGCACUGACAAAAUUUAGUCCAAAAAGCAAUUAAUUUUUCGUUUAAUUUAUUUGUUCAUUUGUCUUUUGGACAAAUGGACAAAAAGCCCAAGUCAGUAGGAAUGACACAAGAAGAUCUCGUGAGACAACAGAGGAAGGACAGGACAGAGAGGUUGAGUGAUGUGGGAAAGUUUUCUGUAAAAAAGGAAGUGGAGCUUGUUUAAGUUCUACCCUUCUGUCAUAUUUGUCAAGAGUAGAAAACUGAAUUAGACAAAGUAAUCCCUACUUUGUCAUGUAUUUUUUAAAGAGAAUUCCGAUAUUAAGAAAAUAAGAACAGAUUGUGGAAGAUGAGAGGAAACAUUAGGAGAAAGGUUAGUUUUAGGUGACAGAGCCACUUUAAUUAGUAACAUUUGCUGAAUAUGUGAAAAUGUGGUUGGAAUUUAAAAAACUAAAAAACUAAAAAGAACACCAGUGUAAAUAUCUAGUGCCUAUAGUAACUCAUAGUGUGUUUUACUUCUACAGGUUUCAAUGACAAUGAGAGAUUACUGUUAUGUGUAAAUCUAUGUCCUAAAAUUAGAAUACUCUCUUAAAGCAAAAUGUCUCUGUCUCCUGAGAAAGCAACUGAGCUGAAACAAAUCAUCCACGAGCAACUGACCCGG